UAGAAAUUUCUUCCACCAGAUACCCUAAAUUAUCUCUCUUAAAUUCAAAGUUCCACAGAUCUCUAGGGCAGGGGCAAAAUUCCACCAGUCUCUUUGAUAAAACAUAGCAAGAGUUACCUUUACUCCAGUUCUCAACAAGUUCCUCACCUCCAUCUGAGACCACCUCAGCCUAGAUUUCAUUGACUAUAUCAUUAUCAGCAUUUUGGUCAAAGCCAUUCAACAAGUCUCUAGGAAGUUUCCAUGUGGCUGGGGAGGCCUCAAAAUCAUGGCAGAAGGUGAAAGGCACAUCUUACGUGGCGUCAGGGAAGAGAGAGAAUUUGUGCAGGGGAACUCUUCUUUACAUAAUUAUCAGAUCUCGUGAGACUUAUUCACUGUCAUGAGAACAGCAAGGGAAAGACCUGACCCCAUGAUUCAAUUACCUCCCACUGGGUCCCUCCCACAACAUGUGGAAAUUAUGGAAGCUACAAUUCAAGAUGAGAUUUGAGUGGGGACACUGCCAAGCCAUAUCAACACCCCACCUUUAAUCUCCCUUGCUUUUUGUUUUUUGUUUUUUCCAGAACACCUAAAUAUUACCUCAUGAGGAUAAGCUUAACUGUCCAAGAUUUAUCCUGAAGAGAGGGAAGGAUGCUUGAGAAUUUAAACUUACUCUAAAACUAAUGGGAAUUUCUUAAAGGAUUGUAAAAAAAAGGGAGGAUUCGAUCAUAUAUAUAUAUAUAUAUAUAUAUACACACAUAUAUAUGUAUAUAUACAUAUAUAUGUAUAUAUACGUAUAUAUACAUAUAUAUAUUACAAGCAUGUUCUUAUUGAGGUGUGGAGAAUUCAGCAGAGGAAGAGGUCAAGGUGGGAUGUGGAUAGAACAGUUAGGAAGCUGUUGCAGCAGUUCAGGUGAAAUGGACUGGGCUUUGGUCAGGUGGUUGGCCAUUGAAAUACAGAGACAUUUUAUCAUUUGGGAUUUGGAGUAGCUGUAACUGAAACUCCAAAUUACAGUGGCUUGGACAGAUAUUUAUUCCUCUCUCGCAUAACUGAAAUCUGUACAUAGCCUAGAAUUCAAUUGGUGGCUCCACCAUUCUUAGGGACCAGAUUCCUUCCAUUUUGUCAAUACGUGACUUCAACCUCCUCAUUGACGGUGGCUGCUUUAAUUCCAGUCAUGUUGUUUUCAUCCCAGACAACGUGAAUGAUGAAGGGAGGAAAAAAGAUACAUCCCUUUCCUGUAAGAGAAUUUCUAGAAAUUAUACGUGAUGCUUGCAGUUACAGCUCAUUGGAAAGCACUCAGUAGCAUGGCCCCAUGUGAUUACAAUGGAAGAUAGACAAUAAAAUGUUUACUCUAGGUUACUACAGGUCUAGUUGAAAAUCAGGACGUCUAUGACUAAGGUUGAAAGGAACAGAAAACGUUGAUAAAUAGCCAACAUCUGUAAUACAAGUAGAUAAAGUUGAGACUUGUUUUGGAAAUAAAGUUAGCAGGAUUUGAUAACUGAUUUAAUGGGGGUUGGGUGAGGACAAGAGAAGGAACAAAUCUCAUUUCUACUUUUCUGAGACAAUCAAUGGUAGUACCUUUUUGGAAAUGAAAAAAAUGAAAAAAGGGGCAGGUUUAGGGCAAAGAACAAAAAUUAAUUAGCUGUUGGGAGCUUCCUCAAAAUUAUAGAGGGAGCAAUUUAUCAAUUUUUUGUUGUUGUUCCAUUCUAGAGAUGUUUUAUGCCCAUAUAGGAAUGUGGGUGUGCAUACCUGAUAUGUGUGUAUACACACAUAUUUUAUUUUUACAAAAAUGGUAGGGUUUAAUUAUACCAUUAUAUACCUAAAAUCCUUUACUUGAUAUAUAUUGGGGAUCUUUCCAUAUAAUUGCAUGAAGAAGUGCCUUACUAUUUUUAAUCAUCACAGAGUAUUUCAUUGUAUGGCUUUGCCAUAAUUUAUUUAACCAGUUCUUAUCUGUACAUUUGUUUCUGUUUUUUUCAGAUUAUAAAAAAUGCUGCAAUGAAUGUCUACACUUUAAAGUAAAAUUGUUGGGUUUAGGGGCACAUUAUUGAAAAUUUUGGCUUGCGUAUUUUUUUCAUAGAGGUGUCAGCAAUUUCUACUCCCACUGGCAAUAUAUCGGGAUGCCUGUUUUCCUUUACUCUUGUCAACUCAAUGUGUCAAGCUUUCUGAUGGUUAAAAUAAUAUUAGAUUUUUGUUUUAAUUUGCUUUUUCUUAGCAGAAAUGAAAUAAAACACUUCACAUGUUUAAAAUGUUUUAUUUCUUUUUCUAAACAUGUCCUCAUUUUUGCUAUUGGAUUCUUAUUUUCUUAUUUAAUUGAAGGAACUGGUUAUACGUUAGAUUAUCUGUUUUGCAAAUAUUUUCCUGUUUAUCCUUUUUUGUCCUCAUAGUAAAUUUCUUUCUAUAAAUUCAACUUAUUUACUAUGAAUAGCUUCUUGUUAUUAAGUAGGUUUAAUACAGUUACCACGUUGGUUUGCAUGCUUUAAACUUUAUUCUCCUCUGUAAAAUACAUCAUUUUACAGAAAUGAGCUCAUACUGAAUAUAUCUUUUAGGUUUCUGCUUUUAUUCUCACUUAAUAAUAAAAAUCUUUCUAAGUCAUUCAUUGUUUUAACAAAUUAUUUUUAAUUGUUUCAUACAUUAUUCUGUCAUUUGGAGUUAACAAUAAUUUACUCAAGCAACCCUCCCGCUGUUGCAUAAUUAGGUUAUUUUCAUUUAAAAAAAAACCGAUAUAAGCUACAGCCAUGGUAGUUUCACUAUGAUAAAGUCCUCAAAGUAAAAUUUGGAGGUCAUUGUGCAAAAGUACUCUCCUUGUGCUUCAAUGCUUCCCGCAGCUAGACCAAGCUCCGCGGGCAGGAGCUGGAGUCCAAGCUAGGGGAAAGAAGGACCUUCCGGGCCCAUAAGGCGGGAGGCAAGGAGGGCCCCUGGGCAGCCCCGCGCUUGCGCGCCAAUCACGGCCGUUAUGGAUUUCGAUACGUUACCAAACGGUCUCCUACAAAGGCAGAAACCGUUUAAAUAUUUCAGAAGGAUUGAUUUUCAUUUUGCAAAUAUAAUACUGGUUCAUUUUCUUUCUCUUCCUCCAUCCAUUCUACUAUUGAACAUAAAACGUGUCAAUAGUAUUGUAGUUCAGCAUGUAUCUCAGGAUAUUAAAAGGGCAGUGUGACUCAGCUAGAAAAGGAUGAACUUUCCCCAAAGAUAAAGUGACCUAUGCGGUAAGUCCUACGGGACUUCAUAUCCUCAUUGGAGAGAGGUUUAGGGUGUUUCUAGUUGUAGCAGGGUUAGUUGCACCUUAGGUUGAAGCAAGAUUUUGCUACUGGAAAUUAAAUAUGGUAAAAGGAGGUGCUCUCGGCCGCCAAUUUGACAAGGGAUGGACCGUGCUGGUUUUGUAUCAACUGGCCUAAGCUAGAACUUCAUUUCCAUUAUGUCUCCAUAUCAGGUUUGGCCAAAAGAUAUAUCUAUGCCAGAUUUGGGAAGCAGAAGUGAAAGAGUAACCGUUACUCUGUGUAGCUGGUGCGGAAGGAGAGAAGUGUAGAUGUACUGCUUGUGGGCUCUAGCUUGUCCUCGCCUGCCUCUGUCUUGACUCCAGCUGGUGUCCUUUUCUGCCUGCCUUGCUGACCAACAGCAGCCCCAAACCCACAGUCAAUGCAGAGGCAACAGCCUUCCAUGCACUUCUUCGCCAGCUCCUGUUGUGGUCUCACUCUUGCAACUGGAUGUUCCCAGUUCUCUAUAUGUAACCUGUGACUUUUCCUUCACUUGACUACUUCAGGAGAGGUGAAUAGAGACUUUUCUCCAAUUCUCCACCUUCCAACGGUGGCCUUACUUCCCCGUCUCCUCCCACUAUUGUGCAAGGUCUAAUUUUUUAAUCCUUAGACUAUAAACUCUGUGGAGGUAGCCACCUGUUUAGUUUACAGCUAUAGUCCCAGCGCCUGGCACCCAGAAGACACUCAUUAAAUGUUUGAAGAAUUAUUAAAGCCCCCAAUAAUUGAUAGCCCUUAUUAUUUAUCCAGUACUUAGAUUCUCAAAUAUGAAACACGAACAACUUGGUUUCAUUAUCUGGCUUAAAAAGCUUAUCAGGGAAAAAGUUUUUAAAAAUAUAUUUUGGGCAGCAUUUGAGUCAUUUCCCGCACCCCCAAACCUAUGUCAGUCGAUAGGAAGUCUGAAAUUGCCUUGAGUUCUGUAGGCAGGACACUUCAGUGGGCUGAAAAGUGUUGGGCUUAUACCUCACUGCUCACUGCUCAUCAUAACUCUUCCCCUCUUUGCUUGGAUUUUUUUUCUUAAAUAUGCCAUGGUCAGCAAAAUUUUUAUUUC
RNAcentral lists this long non-coding RNA (4272 nucleotides) under Homo sapiens (human). Its description in RNAcentral is "non-protein coding LINC00865:1". The record is from RNAcentral. Lineage: Eukaryota; Metazoa; Chordata; Mammalia; Primates; Hominidae.